RNAcentral lists this ribosomal RNA (431 nucleotides) under uncultured bacterium. RNAcentral's name for it is "bacterial SSU rRNA". It matches the Rfam family "Bacterial small subunit ribosomal RNA", at positions 29 to 506 of the family's 1533-position model. The record is from RNAcentral.
ACGAACGCUGGCGGCAUGCCUAAUACAUGCAAGUCGAACGAGAUCUUCGGAUCUAGUGGCGCACGGGUGCGUAACGCGUGGGAAUCUACCCUUGGGUUCGGAAUAACGUCGGGAAACUGACGCUAAUACCGGAUGAUGACGUAAGUCCAAAGAUUUAUCGCCCAAGGAUGAGCCCGCGUAGGAUUAGCUAGUUGGUGGGGUAAAGGCCUACCAAGGCUACGAUCCUUAGCUGGUCUGAGAGGAUGAUCAGCCACACUGGGACUGAGACACGGCCCAGACUCCUACGGGAGGCAGCAGUAGGGAAUAUUGGACAAUGGGGGCAACCCUGAUCCAGCAAUGCCGCGUGAGUGAUGAAGGCCUUAGGGUUGUAAAGCUCUUUUACCCGAGAUGAUAAUGACAGUAUCGGGAGAAUAAGCUCCGGCUAACUCCGU